UAUAAGUAUUAUAAACCAAUAGGAAGAAUUGAUAGAGAGUACAUGAUCUUUUUUGGUUUGUAAUAGUAAAGAAUCCAACUGUACGGUGUCGUAUUACAUGAAGUCUUGCUUGAGAAUGCACCAAGCACCUGGCUGUGGAAGAUAAAAGAAAAUUGCAACAAAAGGUCUUAAUAAUCCAAUAGGAUUAUAGAGAAUUUAUAAUUAAACAUUAACAAUCAUAAUUAAAUAUUAAGCAAGCUCAAUUAAAUUUUAUUGAAGUUAUAAAAGAAACACAAGAAAAUCCUAAAAAAAUAUAAAAGAAUAUUAAAAAAAACUUAGUCAAACCCUAACAAAAAUCUAAUAAAACCUUAAAUUUUAACCAACUCCUAAUCUUAAUCCAACCUUAAUCAAAUCCUAGAUAAAUCCUAAAUCCUAAACCAAAUCUUAAUCAAAUCUUAAUCAAAUCCUAAACCUUAAUCCAAUCCCUAACCAAAUCGUAAACUAAAUCCUAAACCCUAAUCCAAAUCCUAAUCCAAAUCCUAAUCCAAACCUUAAAUCCUAAAUCAAAUCCUAAACUAAAUCCUAAAUCCUAAAUCCUAAACCAUACCUUAACUCUAACAAAAUCUAAAUCCUAAAUCAAAUCCUAAUCAAACCCUAAUCCUAAAUCCUAAUCAAACCCUAACUGACACCAAAUCAUUAUCACAGAUUUGAAAAUUAAAUAACUAAAGAUUGAACCGUUGAUUCUAAUUCAAAAUUUGCACACUUCUUGGAGUUUAAGUUAAAAAAUAGCACAAAAAUUUUGAAGAAAAUCGCACAUACCAAUUAGUCGAUGACCUUAGAAUUCCACUUAGAUGUCGGUUGGUCUUUCCUUCUCUAAUCUUGUUGCCAACUUCGAGCACUGAUAUCUCCCUUUUCCACCAUUCGAUUACUUCCAAAUUUUACUUGCACAAAAGAAAUCAAGUCUUCUAUUGAUAAAACUAAAAAUCUCUCCAAUCCAAUUGGCAGAUUGCUAGAUAUCUAAGAAAACCUUACUAGUCCUCAAAUUCCUAAAUUCCGAGACCUUAGCCCACAAAAACCUUUAUAUGUAUCGAUCUAGCCAUUCGAUUGACCUCAAAUCUCUUAUACACAUUCAUAACAAGCAUACCAGUAAGUCUCUAAAUUUUCACCCAUAAAAAUGCUACAAAAGACACGAAAUCCAAAAAUUUGUAUACCGGUUUUAUUUCUCAAAGAUCAGAAUU
This 1217-nucleotide long non-coding RNA is filed under the name Physcomitrium patens. RNAcentral describes it as "long non-coding RNA (PPAT_LNC000780)". Lineage: Eukaryota; Viridiplantae; Streptophyta; Bryopsida; Funariales; Funariaceae. The record is from RNAcentral.